Molecule: ribosomal RNA, 357 nt
Filed under: Pediococcus pentosaceus
Lineage: Bacteria; Bacillati; Bacillota; Bacilli; Lactobacillales; Lactobacillaceae
Description: bacterial SSU rRNA
Rfam family: Bacterial small subunit ribosomal RNA
Source: RNAcentral
GAAGUGAGUGGCGAACGGGUGAGUAACACGUGGGUAACCUGCCCAGAAGUAGGGGAUAACACCUGGAAACAGAUGCUAAUACCGUAUAACAGAGAAAACCGCAUGGUUUUCUUUUAAAAGAUGGCUCUGCUAUCACUUCUGGAUGGACCCGCGGCGUAUUAGCUAGUUGGUGAGGUAAAGGCUCACCAAGGCAGUGAUACGUAGCCGACCUGAGAGGGUAAUCGGCCACAUUGGGACUGAGACACGGCCCAGACUCCUACGGGAGGCAGCAGUAGGGAAUCUUCCACAAUGGACGCAAGUCUGAUGGAGCAACGCCGCGUGAGUGAAGAAGGGUUUCGGCUCGUAAAGCUCUGUUGU